AAUUAGUGUAGAUCUUCUCCUAAAAAUUAGCCGCUUGUAUAAUCUGAGAUACCUUCCUUGUCUUAAACUCUGAUAUCUACUCUGUCUCCAGCAAACUCUAAUCUUUAAUAAAAGUCUGAUCUUUCAAAUAAACUCUGAUCUGAUUGUUAACGUUAUAAAAGAAGUUAAGUGUGAUAUCAUCAAAUAUAUAACAAGAACUAUAUGUUGGAGGAAGCAAAGUUACCUACAUAUUUCUGGGCUAAAGUAGUCAACAAAGCAUGCUAUACUCACAAUAUCAGUCUAAUCAAUGGAAUAACACCAUAUCAGAGUCUGAAAGAGAAGAAACCAAGCCUGUAUUUUGUCUCUGCUUUCAUAAUGUGCUUGACAUGCAUCCAACAGACUACAAAAUCUCAACAAAAUCUUUGAAGAUUUCUUUAAAGUCGGCCUCUUCAGCUCAUUUAUAGAAUUAUAGGCAUACCAAUGUAACUCCCACACUUCCGUCAUCUUGUACACACAUGACAUCAACUAAUCUCUUAAACCAUUAAAUAUGCAAAAAAAAAAACUCAUAACUUUUAUCAAACACUUAGAAGACACACGUAUAAAUCCGAAAGAUAUAAAACAAUCAUGUAUAUAAAUUUAAACUUGUGAUAAACUUAAGAAUGGAGAGAGAGAUCCGCUUGGGUUCAACGUGAUGAGCUAAAAUUCAUCAAACAUAAUAAUAAUUAAUGAAAAUUGUAUCAAAAGCAAAAACAAAAAUUGAUGACAAACGUAACAGAAAAGAGAGACACCUUCUGGUUUUGCAAAGGAUGAGCUAAAAAAAAAAAAAAAAGCAACAACAAAUAAUGAAAUUUUGAUAACAAAAAAUAAGAAUAACAAAAAAAGAGGAAGAAAGACAUGUAAUGGACAAAGAAUGACCUGAAAACAAAACCAUACCAAUAUCAGGAGAGAAUAACCUUCUCCUCCUGCAAAGAAUUUAGGUGCAAAUAAAACAGCAAGAUAAAGAUAGGUGACUAACGAAAUUCAAAUGAAACGAAACAAUGAGGGAGACAAAGCGAGGGAGAGACUUAGAGCAAGAUUUGAAAUUGAAUUUUGAAUAUUGAGCUUAAUUUCAGUGGGCAAAGUGAAGAAGACACAUAUACUACAAACUUAUAUCCUUAAAAACCGGACUGCAGUAUAGAUAAGAAAGUUGUGUACAUGGGGCAUAUGAG
This 1187-nucleotide long non-coding RNA is filed under the name Daucus carota (carrot). Its description in RNAcentral is "long non-coding RNA (DCAR_LNC004127)". The record is from RNAcentral. Lineage: Eukaryota; Viridiplantae; Streptophyta; Magnoliopsida; Apiales; Apiaceae.